GCGAGGGAAGGUUUUCGCCAAUC
RNAcentral lists this microRNA (23 nucleotides) under Lottia gigantea (owl limpet). RNAcentral describes it as "Lgi-Mir-278_5p* (star (passenger))". Lineage: Eukaryota; Metazoa; Mollusca; Gastropoda; Lottiidae. The record is from RNAcentral.